Molecule: ribosomal RNA, 402 nt
Filed under: uncultured bacterium
Lineage: Bacteria
Description: bacterial SSU rRNA
Rfam family: Bacterial small subunit ribosomal RNA
Source: RNAcentral
UGGGGAAUAUUGCACAAUGGGCGAAAGCCUGAUGCAGCAACGCCGCGUGAGUGAUGAAGGCCUUCGGGUUGUAAAGCUCUGUCUUUGGGGACGAUAAUGACGGUACCCAAGGAGGAAGCCACGGCUAACUACGUGCCAGCAGCCGCGGUAAUACGUAGGUGGCAAGCGUUGUCCGGAUUUACUGGGCGUAAAGGAUGCGUAGGCGGAUAUUUAAGUGGGAUGUGAAAUACUCGGGCUUAACCUGGGUGCUGCAUUCCAAACUGGAUAUCGAGAGUGCAGGAGAGGAGAGUACAAUUCCUAGUGUAGCGGUGAAAUGCGUAGAGAUUAGGAAGAAUACCAGUGGCGAAGGCGACUUUCUGGACUGUAACUGACUCUGAGGCUCGAAAGCGUGGGGAGCAAACA